CGGAGGAUCCAAGCGUUAUCCGGAAUCAUUGGGUUUAAAGGGUCCGUAGGCGGUUUAAUAAGUCAGUGGUGAAAGCCCAUCGCUCAACGGUGGAACGGCCAUUGAUACUGUUAAACUUGAAUUAUUAGGAAGUAACUAGAAUAUGUAGUGUAGCGGUGAAAUGCUUAGAGAUUACAUGGAAUACCAAUUGCGAAGGCAGGUUACUACUAAUGGAUUGACGCUGAUGGACGAAAGCGUGGGUAGCGAACAGGAUUAGAUACCCUGGUAGUCCACGCCGUAAACGAUGGAUACUAGCUGUUGGAAGCAAUUUCAGUGGCUAAGCGAAAGUGAUAAGUAUCCCACCUGGGGAGUACGUUCGCAAGAAUG
This 366-nucleotide ribosomal RNA is filed under the name uncultured organism. Its description in RNAcentral is "bacterial SSU rRNA". It matches the Rfam family "Bacterial small subunit ribosomal RNA", at positions 526 to 896 of the family's 1533-position model. The record is from RNAcentral.